CAUGAGAGAGAAGCUGAGGCGAAGGCGUCUACCUAGAGGGUUUCUGUCGAUCAAGGGCGAGAGUAGGAGUAUCCAACAGGAUUAGAGACCCUGGUAGUUCCUACCUUAAACGAUGCCGACAGGAGUUUGUCAUUUGUUAAUGGCAGAAUCUUUAGGAGAAAUCAUAGUUCUUGGGCUCUGGGGGAACUACGACCGCAAGGCUGAAACUUGAAGGAAUUGACGGAAGGGCACACCAGGGGUGGAGCCUGUGGCUUAAUUUGAAUCAACACGGGGAAACUUACCAGGACCAGAUGUUUUUUAUGACUGACAGGCUUCGGGUCUUUCAGGAUAUUGUUUUUGGUGGUGCAUGGCCGUUGGUGGUGCGUGGGUUGACCUGUCUAGCGUUGAUUCAGCUAACGAGCGAGAUUAUCGCCAAUUAUUUACUUUGCCGAAGUCCUUCGGUUAAAGUUCUAAUUGGGACUCCCUGCGAUUUUAGCAGGUGGAAGAGGGUAGCAAUAACAGGUCCGUGAUGCCCUUUAGAUGCUCUGGGCUGCACGCGUGCUACAAUGUUAGGAUCAAUAGGACUGCGAGCCUGAGAGGGUGCGCUACUCUUAUAAUCCCUAACGUAGUUGGGAUUGACGUUUGUAAUCAGCGUCAUGAACCAGGAAUCCCUUGUAAAUGUGUGUCAACAACGCACGUUGAAUACGUCCCUGCCCUUUGUACACACCGCCCGUCGCUCCUACCGAUUGGAUGACUCGGUGAAAUCACCGGAUGCUUACGAGCAGAAAGUGAUUAAAUCACGUUAUCUAGAGGAAGGAGAAGUCGUAACAAGGUAACGGUAGGUGAACCUGCCGUUGGAUCAGUU
This 844-nucleotide non-coding RNA is filed under the name Trichomonas vaginalis G3. RNAcentral describes it as "Eukaryotic small subunit ribosomal RNA". It matches the Rfam family "Eukaryotic small subunit ribosomal RNA", at positions 927 to 1831 of the family's 1831-position model. Lineage: Eukaryota; Parabasalia; Trichomonadida; Trichomonadidae. The record is from Rfam by way of RNAcentral.